Molecule: ribosomal RNA, 492 nt
Filed under: uncultured bacterium
Lineage: Bacteria
Description: partial 16S ribosomal RNA
Rfam family: Bacterial small subunit ribosomal RNA
Source: RNAcentral
AGUGAACGCUGGCGGUAGGCCUAACACAUGCCAGUCGAACGGCAGCACAGUAAGAGCUUGCUCUUACGGGUGGCGAGUGGCGGACGGGUGAGGAAUACAUCGGAAUCUACUUUUUCGUGGGGGAUAACGUAGGGAAACUUACGCUAAUACCGCAUACGACCUACGGGUGAAAGCAGGGGAUCUUCGGACCUUGCGCGAUUGAAUGAGCCGAUGUCGGAUUAGCUAGUUGGCGGGGUAAAGGCCCACCAAGGCGACGAUCCGUAGCUGGUCUGAGAGGAUGAUCAGCCACACUGGAACUGAGACACGGUCCAGACUCCUACGGGUGGCAGCAGUGGAGAAUAUUGGACAAUGGGCGCAAGCCUGAUCCAGCCAUACCGCGUGGGUGAAGAAGGCCUUCGGGUUGUAAAGCCCUUUUGUUGGGAAAGAAAAGCAGCAGGUUAAUACCCCGCUGUUCUGACGGUACCCAAAGAAUAAGCACCGGCUAACUUCGUG